RNAcentral lists this ribosomal RNA (141 nucleotides) under Mannheimia haemolytica D35. Its description in RNAcentral is "partial 16S ribosomal RNA". It matches the Rfam family "Bacterial small subunit ribosomal RNA", at positions 1 to 133 of the family's 1533-position model. Lineage: Bacteria; Pseudomonadati; Pseudomonadota; Gammaproteobacteria; Pasteurellales; Pasteurellaceae. The record is from RNAcentral.
UUGAAUUGAAGAGUUUGAUCAUGGCUCAGAUUGAACGCUGGCGGCAGGCUUAACACAUGCAAGUCGAACGGUAGCACAUAGGAGUUUGCUCCUUGGGUGACGAGUGGCGGACGGGUGAGUAAUGCUUGGGAAUCUGGCUUA